This is a long non-coding RNA of Homo sapiens (human), 2767 nucleotides long. Ensembl annotates it as prostate cancer associated 3. Its record names the gene PCA3. Lineage: Eukaryota; Metazoa; Chordata; Mammalia; Primates; Hominidae. The record is from Ensembl.
GCUGAGUUUCAUUUGGGAAUAUACGAUACCCUUUCACCCACGUUGUGGAGUCAAAAAUGCUCUUUAAUUUUUAUGUCAGUUGAGGAAAACUGCUGCUACUCCUGCUCCCGAGUGAGACUGGAUGUGAAUGGGCUCAAAGCACAAGUUGUAAGGAAUUUAGUUCUCUUGAAACCUCUUUUUAAAAAAAAAUCCUGUAGUUUCACAGCACAUACCUAUAUGACAGCAAUGUAAUUAUUUUCAUUGAAUGAACAAUGGUUAAGAUCAUAAUAAAAUGGACUGUGGAAGCAUAGCAGGAUUCAUAAGGAAGUCCAGCUUCGGUCCUAGAGAAAGUUAGGAUGCUUGUCUAAGAUCAGUACGACUUCAGCGACUGGGAGAAAAAGGGGUGUGGAAGUUAACCUGUGGACCCUGCAGUCACAAGGCCAAGUUCAAAGCUGAUUUCUACCACUUAUUAGCAAGUGUGGACGUUACUAAACCUCAUGGCACCUUAAGACUGCUCAUUUACAGAAUGGACAGUAAUCAUGAUGUUCUUUAAAAAUGGUAAGAUAGCCGGGUGUGGUGGCACGUGCCUGGAGUCCCAGCUACUCAGGAGGCUAAGGCAGGAGAAUCUUGAACCCAGGAGAUGGAGGUUGCAGUGAGCCGAGAUUGCAUCGCUGCAUUCCACACUCCAGCGCUGGCAACAGAGUGAGACUCCCUCCACCCCCUCCCCCCCUCCAAAAAAAAAAAAGAGACAGGGUUUCAUUAUGUUGCCCAGGCUGGACUUGAACUCCUGAGUUCAAAUGAUCUGCCUGCUUCGGCCUCCCAGAGUGCUAGGACUACAGGCAUGAGCCAUAGCACUUGGCCCUAUGAACUUUGUACAAUAUCAGAGUUCUGGAAGACGGAAAGUCCAAGAUCAAGAUCCUGACAUACUCGCUGUCUGAUGAGCACCUGCCUCCUGAUUCAUAGGCUGCCAUCUUUUUGCUGUGUCCUCACGUGACAGAAAAGAAUCCAUCAAGCUUGAGUUGAUUUAUUGAACUGUCUCUUGGCUCAGCAGUACAACUACAGCAAAUGAACUGGUCUGCAGGCUCACUGACACUCUCUGAAGAUGGCGGGUUCCUAAAAAGUCAUGAGAGUUGAGGGAUGCAUUUCAGUGUAUGCUCAGAGACAUCAUGGCUUUCAUCAUCUUCCUUCUUCUUCUGAGUAACCAACUCUAGAAGCAAUUUGACUUGGAGCGUCAGUGGAGGCGUCUUAAAUCUGGAUGACUGAACUGCAUUAGAAGAGACAGAGUCUCACUGUCAGUUAGGAUGGAGUGCAGCACCGUGAUACUAGCUCACUGCAGUCUCAAGCCUCAAGGGCUGCUCCCGCCUCAGCCUCCUGAGUAGCUGGGACUACAGGCAAGCAUCACAAUGCCCAGAUGAAUCACGGUGUUUGGAAAGGAUGCAGGCAUUUUCUACCCCACAGAACUUUACAAUCCAUACAAGCAUUUCUCUCUACAUUAUCACAUUUAACCCUCAACACAAUCUGGAUAGGUGGAUAAGAAGGCUGAAACCACAGGAAAUUUUUGUGAUGGGUCCAGGAAAAAAAAAAUUACGGGUAGCAAAUGGCUGUGAAUUUAAAGUCAAAGCUUCUGAUCCUUUUCUAUUCCAUGAUCACCCUUGACCAGGGGAACUGGUCCAGGCAACGUAGUCUAGGAGGGGCUCAGGGGGUUCAGACAGGAGCAGAUCAGAAGGUGGCAAAUAGGGACAAGAACCUAAGGUCUGCUCUGCUCCAGUGCAAAGCAGGUGUUUGCUGGAGAAGCAGACUUCAUACUGGAAGAAACAAGCCCCUUUUAGCUGGUGGCCACUGAGCUGACUGAGUUACAGUCCCCUCGAGGUAGAGUGUUCAGCCACAGAAGCCUUGCCUGCUCACCUCCCCGUCUGGGUCUCCCUCCCUGGAGACCACCAUUUGAGGUGUAAUGGAAAUAGUGCAUUUGAUGCCUGCCUCUGUCACAGAGUUUUUGUGUGACUGUGAACUCAUACUUACCUCUGAUACAAACAGGAAGCAGGGAGAUACUGGGUAGAAGAGGGCAGUUCCCUUACCCCACCCUCAAUCCUGGAAACCCGUAUCCCUAAAUGGGAAUAAGCAUUCCUGUUUUCACACCCAAAUGUUGCCUUUUGGCCCACCACGCCCUGCUAUCCUGUGCCCACACAGACCCCAAACCCCAGGCUCCAUGAGCAGAUGAGCAGAAGAGCAGAGGGACAGCAGAAGAGCAGCGUGGCAGAGAAGGAGAGAAGAAAAGGAGUGUCUGAACAUCGAGAGGACUUUGGCUGGGGUCAUUUGGAGAGGAGAGUGGCUGAACUCCAGGGGAAGAUCAUCUUCCCACUCCAUUCCCUUUCCAGCUCCCCAUCCAUCCUGCUGAAAGCCAUCUUCGUCUGGCAAUAAAAUCCCCCACAUUUACCAUCUUUCAAUUUAUCCAUGUGGCCUGAUUCUUCCUGGAUGCUGGACAAGAACCCAGGUACCAAGAGGGCACUGAGCUGGUUAACACUUAAGCCAUCUGUGGACUGCAGAGUUAAAAGAGCACUGUAGCAUGCCCACUGGGGCUUUGGGAGUCACAGGCACCCAGCCCUAGAUGCUACCACGGGGCCGGAGCCCAGAAGCACUCGCCCUGGCUCCUGCACCUGCCCAUCUGCGUGCUCCUCCUCCCAUAAGGGGUUUGAGCACACAGCUGCCAAACAGAUGAGCCACACCCCUGUCACACGUCCUGCGAGGGCAGUCAGGGAAUUCUCCAGUUUCACUUCCUUUGUACACUAAC